AGUGAACGCUGGCGGUAGGCCUAACACAUGCAAGUCGAACGGCAGCACAGUAAGAGCUUGCUCUUACGGGUGGCGAGUGGCGGACGGGUGAGGAAUACAUCGGAAUCUACUUUUUCGUGGGGGAUAACGUAGGGAAACUUACGCUAAUACAGCAUCCGAUCUACGGGUGAAAGCAGGGGAACUUCGGACCUUGCGCGAUUGAAUGAGCCGAUGUCGGAUUAGUUAGUUGGCGGGGUAAAGGCCCACCAAGGCGACGAUCCGUAGCUGGUCUGGGAGGAUGAUCAGCCACACUGGAGCUGGGACACGGUCCAGACUCCUACGGGAGGCAGCAGUGGGGAAUAUUGGACAGUGGGCGCAAGCCUGAUCCAGCCAUACCGCGUGGGUGAAGAAGGCCUUCGGGUUGUAAAGCCCUUUUGUUGGGAAAGAAAAGCAGCAGGUUAAUACCCCGCUGUUCUGACGGUACCCAAAGAAGAAGCACCGGCUAACUUCGUG
This 492-nucleotide ribosomal RNA is filed under the name uncultured bacterium. RNAcentral's name for it is "partial 16S ribosomal RNA". It matches the Rfam family "Bacterial small subunit ribosomal RNA", at positions 29 to 507 of the family's 1533-position model. The record is from RNAcentral.